UGGGGAAUAUUGCGCAAUGGGCGAAAGCCUGACGCAGCAACGCCGCGUGAGUGAUGAAGGCCUUCGGGUUGUAAAGCUCUUUCGGCCGGGAAGAAGGGGUAUGGUGUUAAUAGCAUUGUACUUUGAUGGUACCGGAAGAAGAAGCACCGGCUAACUUCGUGCCAGCAGCCGCGGUAAUACGAAGGGUGCGAGCGUUGUUCGGAAUUACUGGGCGUAAAGGGUUCGUAGGCGGGAAUUUAAGUCAAGUGUGAAAUCCCCGAGCUUAACUUGGGACGUGCAUUUGAAACUGAGUUUCUUGAGUAUUGGAGAGGGUGGUGGAAUUGUUGGUGUAGGAGUGACAUCCGUAGAGAUCAGCAGGAACAUCAGAUGCGAAAGCGACCGCCUG
This 385-nucleotide ribosomal RNA is filed under the name uncultured bacterium. RNAcentral's name for it is "bacterial SSU rRNA". It matches the Rfam family "Bacterial small subunit ribosomal RNA", at positions 355 to 731 of the family's 1533-position model. The record is from RNAcentral.